UACGGAGGGUGCAAGCGUUGCUCGGAUUUAUUGGGCGUAAAGAGCUCGUAGGCGGCUUGUCGCGUCGUCCGUGAAAACCUGCAGCUCAACUGCAGGCUUGCGGUCGAUACGGGCAGGCUGGAGUUCGGUAGGGGAGACUGGAAUUCCUGGUGUAGCGGUGAAAUGCGCAGAUAUCAGGAGGAACACCGGUGGCGAAGGCGGGUCUCUGGGCCGAUACUGACGCUGAGGAGCGAAAGCGUGGGGAGCGAACAGG
This 253-nucleotide ribosomal RNA is filed under the name uncultured bacterium. Its description in RNAcentral is "partial 16S ribosomal RNA". It matches the Rfam family "Bacterial small subunit ribosomal RNA", at positions 524 to 776 of the family's 1533-position model. The record is from RNAcentral.